CUACCCAAAUGUGGGGUUAAGCCAUUUGGGUAAUUUUUUGGGGUUAUUUUCGCAGUCUUGGGUAGUUGUUUGGGUAGUUUUAUGUAACCCCACCACUGGGUUAUUUUCUGGGUAAUUUUCACUGAGAGUGGAAUCAAUACACCCCCUCCCCCUCCCGGACUCAACAACCCAGCUCAUUGGGUCAAAUCAACUCGGCGCAGAUUCAGGUGCAGCACAGGCUGACUGAAUUUGAGGUGGAUGCAACGCACACUAAUAUUUGGAGAAAUAAGGUUCGUAUCAACAUAUUUAUUCAUAUAACAUAUUUUUUAAACCUAUUUAUACACGUAUCAUAAUAUCGAGGGCUAUAUAAAGACGUAAGUGCCAUUACAUUCAGUUUUACAUGGCAUUAAAUACGCCGCCAGCUUCGUUCGUUUAGGUUGGCUUGUUUGAUAUGCCCGUUGGAUAGUAAAUACGUUUUCUACUGUUUUUGUUUAAUGUUUUAAACGUCCCCUUUGGACAAAGCCUUAAGUUUCUUCUUAACUAACGUUAUAUGAUGACAUUUACGUUACUUCAAAGCCCAGUUAACUGUUAACUUAAAACGAGAUUAAUGUAAGUUAAAGUAAAUGCAUUCUUUGCAUUUUCAGAUUAUUAAAAUGAGAUUUUUGACAAUUACAGCCCGUAACAAAUCUCUGGUAAUUAAUUUCUGAAAACCAUUUUUUGUACACGAACAGUUAAAGCAGCCCAUCCCCCGCUGUACAGCAGUGCUGCUGCUGGGUCAAAACAACCCCUUUCAUGGAUCAUCUGUCGCGGGGAUUUUGGAUCGUCAGAAGGAGAAAUACAGCAGGACUUUACAAGCAGACAUUCUUCAGCGGUUCUUUUCUGGUGAAAUAAAGGGGUGGCGAAUGUCGGUCGUGGAGAGCCGCAGUCCUGCAGAGUUUAGCUCCAGCUCUAAUCAAACACACCUGAACAGGUGGUCUGAGUUUCCAUGAGUUUCCUAGGCUAACUACCCCAGGCAUGAUUGCACAAGACUUUUACACAUUACACCAGGAUGCAGCUCCAAAACUCUUCGAGAAAUGGCUCCCUUGAUACACCGAUAGGAUCUUGCAUUUUUCUAAACCAGAAGCAAAGCUUCCAUGUUCAGUUGAGGAGAUGACACAAGAUGCAAAGGGAAAUCUUGCAUUAAAGCUGCUCCCUGUUUUGCUUCCACCUCCACCCUUCAAAACUGCCAGAAAAAGUCCGGCCCAGCAUUGAUGAUGGCAAAAAAGCUUUCAUCGACAUUCAGCCUGUUGGAACAAAUAUGAUGGAGUACCUCCAGCAGGCUGAAGCAUCAGGACUUAACCCUUAUUUCCUGUCACUUGAAAAUGGACAGAUGAGUCCCAGGCAUUCGUCAUCCUUGGAGGAGAAACUUAGGACAAGGCACUUUGAUUGGGGUAGUAGAAGCACUACAUUCUUGCAAGUAAAUGACAAGAGGUUUUUUGAAUAGACUGGGUUUCAGGUACAAGAGUUAUCAUUUUAGUUUUUUUUUUACAGACUUAAAGGUGCUCUAAGCGAAUCUGUGUGACGUUACUUUUUGUUGAUGUUUGAACUGUUUUCAAACAAACGGAGCGUAGCUAACUCCUUCCCUCCCUUCCGUGCUUUCAUGAACGCGCCCAACCCUCACCCCCAAAUGCUUCUUGUCGUUAAUUGGCUGGAACACUUUGUUAUCCUUUCUGGUAGUAGGUUUGGCCACUUUAUUUUUAUUGCAGUUUGUGGAUCCUGGGCUGUCUAAAGAGAUCACGUUUUUUACAGUUUGAUCAGCGGACAGGCAGCCAGCAGAUAGUGAGGAGAUGUUUGCUGUAUGUAAUAAAAAAUGUUUUAUAGCCUAAAACGCGUGAAUUCGCUUAGAGCACCUUUAAGGAAGAGUAUUACUUGAUGAAUAUUAAUGACAUGUUUAUGAAAUGUUACACUGGCAAAAUGCUGUAUUUCAUAGUUUUUUUGUGUGUGUUCAUAAUGUAGACUAAAACAAUACUGCUUUGUAACAAACAGUUGUUCUUAAAGGUUUUUAAUGAAUUUCAUUAUUUUUUUUAAAAUGUUAAAACGUAUAGGGCGGUUUCACAGACAAGGAUAAGACUAGUCCUAGACUAAAGUAAAUGUAAGAGCUGUCCAAACUGAAAACUACUUGCACUGACAUAUCUUAAAAUACACCAGUGCCCUUUGUUUUCCCUCAAAAUGCACACAAGUAAUGUUUUUAUUAAGAUAUGUUUGUUCAAACUUGUUAUAUUUCCUAAUUAAUAACUAAGGACUAGUCCUGGCUUAAGCCAAUCCCUGUCCGUGAAACCACCCCUUACACUUUUGCAAUUAGAGGCAAGUGAAGAAGUUGUUUAAAAUUGUUUAAAAAUGGAAUUUUAUUUAUUGUAUUUAUAGUUUUGUAUGAUCUCCUGAAUUUUUGAUUGAGCUAUUGUGUACAAAGUGUACGUUACACACAUUGUAUUUGUUACAUUACACAAAGUGUAAUAUGCUAAAAAAUAUUAAUGAAAAAUAAAGUUAAUACAAUGUUGA
This is a non-coding RNA of Misgurnus anguillicaudatus (oriental weatherfish), 2517 nucleotides long. Lineage: Eukaryota; Metazoa; Chordata; Actinopteri; Cypriniformes; Cobitidae. The record is from RefSeq and is a predicted model, not a curated record.